AGAAGACCCCAUGGAGCUUCAAACCCAACUACACCCCUAGCUCUUAUAGCCCCACAACCCCCCUAGGCACCGUGUGCUUGGUUUUAGGUUGGGGCGACCGCGGAGUACAAUAAAACCUCCACAAUGAAUGGGAACACCCCCUUAUCUGAGGGCCACACCCCCUAAGAAUUAGAACACUAACAUAAAAUGAUCCAUUACUUGAUCAAUGAACCAAGUUACCCUGGGGAUAACAGCGCAAUCCAUUUCAAGAGCCCCUAUCGACAAAUGGGUUUACGACCUCGAUGUUGGAUCAGGGUACCCCAGUGGUGCAGCAGCUACUAACGGUUCGUUUGUUCAACGAUUAAAACCCU
This 350-nucleotide ribosomal RNA is filed under the name Mantidactylus melanopleura. Its description in RNAcentral is "partial 16S ribosomal RNA". It matches the Rfam family "Bacterial large subunit ribosomal RNA", at positions 2085 to 2597 of the family's 2925-position model. Lineage: Eukaryota; Metazoa; Chordata; Amphibia; Anura; Mantellidae. The record is from RNAcentral.